RNAcentral lists this ribosomal RNA (460 nucleotides) under uncultured bacterium. Its description in RNAcentral is "partial 16S ribosomal RNA". It matches the Rfam family "Bacterial small subunit ribosomal RNA", at positions 338 to 795 of the family's 1533-position model. The record is from RNAcentral.
CCUACGGGCGGCAGCAGUGAGGAAUAUUGGUCAAUGGACGAGAGUCUGAACCAGCCAAGUAGCGUGAAGGAUGACUGCCCUAUGGGUUGUAAACUUCUUUUAUAUGGGAAUAAAAUGUUCCACGUGUGGGAUUUUGUAUGUACCAUAUGAAUAAGGAUCGGCUAACUCCGUGCCAGCAGCCGCGGUAAUACGGAGGAUCCGAGCGUUAUCCGGAUUUAUUGGGUUUAAAGGGAGCGUAGGUGGAUUGUUAAGUCAGUUGUGAAAGUUUGCGGCUCAACCGUAAAAUUGCAGUUGAAACUGGCAGUCUUGAGUACAGUAGAGGUAGGCGGAAUUCGUGGUGUAGCGGUGAAAUGCUUAGAUAUCACGAAGAACUCCGAUUGCGAAGGCAGUUCACUGGACUGCAACUGACACUGAUGCUCGAAAGUGUGGGUAUCAAACAGGAUUAGAUACCCUUGUAGUC